UGGGUGGAUUUGGCAGAACCGAGUCGGUGCCCUGGCGGCGCUGCCACGGUCCCCCCGCAGCGGUUUUUCCCCGUCCUUCUCCCUCUCUUUUCAGCUCGGUUCCUACCCCAGGUUGCGGGAGGAGACGGAGCGGAUCGUCACCACCCACAUCCGGGAGCGCGAGGGCAAGACCAAGGACCAGAUCCUGCUGCUGAUCGACAUCGAGCUCUCCUACAUCAACACCAACCACGAGGAUUUCAUCGGAUUUGCCAACGCGCAGCAGAGGAACACGCAGACCAACAAGAAGAGGGCGAUUCCCAACCAGGGGGAGAUCCUGGUGAUCCGCAGGGGCUGGGUGA
This 338-nucleotide long non-coding RNA is filed under the name Lepidothrix coronata (blue-crowned manakin). RNAcentral's name for it is "lncRNA (ENSLCOG00000001793.1)". The record is from RNAcentral. Lineage: Eukaryota; Metazoa; Chordata; Aves; Passeriformes; Pipridae.